RNAcentral lists this non-coding RNA (57 nucleotides) under unclassified sequences. RNAcentral's name for it is "pemK RNA". It matches the Rfam family "pemK RNA". The record is from RNAcentral.
ACAAUGAUACUUCUGUACGCAACUCGGUGAGAACCACGGAGGGUUAGAGUCCCAUGA